GGGACACGUGGUAUCCUGUCUGAAUAUGGGGGGACCAUCCUCCAAGGCUAAAUACUCCUGACUGACCGAUAGUGAACCAGUACCGUGAGGGAAAGGCGAAAAGAACCCCGGCGAGGGGAGUGAAAAAGAACCUGAAACCGUGUACGUACAAGCAGUGGGAGCCUCUUAAUGGGGUGACUGCGUACCUUUUGUAUAAUGGGUCAGCGACUUAUAUUCUGUAGCAAGGUUAACCGAAUAGGGGAGCCGAAGGGAAACCGAGUCUUAACUGGGCGUUAAGUUGCAGGGUAUAGACCCGAAACCCGGUGAUCUAGCCAUGGGCAGGUUGAAGGUUGGGUAACACUAACUGGAGGACCGAACCGACUAAUGUUGAAAAAUUAGCGGAUGACUUGUGGCUGGGGGUGAAAGGCCAAUCAAACCGGGAGAUAGCUGGUUCUCCCCGAAAGCUAUUUAGGUAGCGCCUCGUGAAUUCAUCUCCGGGGGUAGAGCACUGUUUCGGCAAGGGGGUCAUCCCGACUUACCAACCCGAUGCAAACUGCGAAUACCGGAGAAUGUUAUCACGGGAGACACACGGCGGGUGCUAACGUCCGUCGUGAAGAGGGAAACAACCCAGACCGCCA
This 617-nucleotide ribosomal RNA is filed under the name Escherichia coli. RNAcentral's name for it is "partial 23S ribosomal RNA". It matches the Rfam family "Bacterial large subunit ribosomal RNA", at positions 419 to 1037 of the family's 2925-position model. Lineage: Bacteria; Pseudomonadati; Pseudomonadota; Gammaproteobacteria; Enterobacterales; Enterobacteriaceae. The record is from RNAcentral.